GACGAACGCUGGCGGCGUGCUUAACACAUGCAAGUCGAACGGAAAGGCCCUGCUUUUGUGGGGUGCUCGAGUGGCGAACGGGUGAGUCACACGUGAGUAACCUGCCCUUGACUUUGGGAUAACUUCAGGAAACUGGGGCUACUACCGGAUAGGCGCUCCUGCUGCAUGGUGGGGGUUGGAAAGUUUCGGCGGUUGGGGAUGGACUCGCGGCUUAUCAGCUUGUUGGUGGGGUAGUGGCUUACCAAGGCUUUGACGGGUAGCCGGCCUGAGAGGGUGACCGGCCACAUUGGGACUGAGAUACGGCCCAGACUCCUACGGGAGGCAGCAGUGGGGAAUAUUGCACAAUGGGCGGAAGCCUGAUGCAGCAACGCCGCGUGCGGGAUGACGGCCUUCGGGUUGUAAACCGCUUUCGCCAGGGACGAAGCGUGAGUGACGGUAAUGGGUAAAGAAGCACCGGCUAACUACGUG
This 468-nucleotide ribosomal RNA is filed under the name uncultured bacterium. RNAcentral's name for it is "partial 16S ribosomal RNA". It matches the Rfam family "Bacterial small subunit ribosomal RNA", at positions 28 to 507 of the family's 1533-position model. The record is from RNAcentral.